Long non-coding RNA from Manis pentadactyla (Chinese pangolin), 1030 nucleotides. RefSeq lists it as uncharacterized. The record is from RefSeq and is a predicted model, not a curated record. The transcript is spliced from 3 exons. Lineage: Eukaryota; Metazoa; Chordata; Mammalia; Pholidota; Manidae.
AAAUUUUUGCGUAGCGAUCAUAUCCUCAGUGCCUAUCUUUUGAAUGAAAACUUGAGGCAUUGUUUUUAUGAUCCUUAGUAACUUAAAUUAGCCCCGCUCAACUGAGAUUCAGGAAUGUAUUUCAGGGAUCCUGUAACUGCCUGAAAUUAUGUGUAAAUUGGUGUUUAUGUGUCUGUCUCUGGAGGGGAAAGAGUCCAUAGGUUUCGUAAGAUUCACAAACAUUUGUAAAUCUCUGGUGUAUACCUUUGGGAUGGUGAUAACUCAUAUCUGUGUUAAAUGAUUAUAGCUUUUUCUUUUAAGAAGUUAUGUUGCUAUCUAAUUAUAGGAUAUUUAAUUUCCCAAAAGGUCUUUUGUGAAAGUAAAAGCUUACCUGCAGAGACACCCUCAUAUAUUGUACAUUCAGUGAUGUCUACCCUUAAUAAUUCUAUCUUGUAAAAAACUUUCCAAGGAUAAAAGCAAGACAUUAUGGAACACUUCCUGAUUCUAUAUUCUCAACAUAACGUUUCUUCUUCACUUUGAAGUAAAAUAAAGUUCUACCUUUACUUUUUUUUUCAACAACUGGUUUUAUUUUUUUUUUACAUUUAAAGAAUUCAAAUGGUACAAAAGAGUUUACAUUGAAAAGUGAAACUCCCUCAAGCUCAAGACCUCCAGUUCUCCAAGCCCAGCAUCCUUCUAAAGAUAUCCCGUGUUUAUACAAGUAGACGCUUGUGUACCUGUAUAUUCCUCCCUUUUGGAUUUUAGAUUGAAGAGGAUUCUUCUGCCUUUUCAUAGUCCUGGAGCGAUGGGAGUCAUCGUAUGCGAGUGGUGUGGGUUUGGGUGUCAGCUUGGAGGACAAAGUCUCUCCUGCUUCCUGGUCCAGUCACAGUGCCUGUGUCUGCUGUCUGUGCCGCCAAGCCAAGAUGCGAUGGAAAACCCGGCAGCUGAAGCCCUCACGGACCGCAUUGUCCACGUGGUCCUGCAGGACCUCCAAGCUGGGGAAAACCCGGCAGCAGCCCAGGCACCUGAAGCCGCUGUCCAGGGCCACCAGCCA